GGGGGCGACUUGGUUUCGACGUGGGUUACAAAACCUAAGGGGCAUGUCGAGGGGCAGAUACCUCGUAAAUACUCUGCAAACUUUCUAGUUGCGAACGAAGACAACUACGCUUUAGCUGCUUAGGCAGCUAAACUGUCACCCGAAUGAGCCUGCGCGUUUGGAAUGACAGUCACUUUAGUAGGAUCGUGAAUUCAUGCGUCUAGGGUGGAUUCAUUAAACUUUACUUGGACUCACCUUUAAACUUUCCUGCCCGUCGGAGAGUUGAAGGUUAAAUUGAAGACUGGCUAAACAUGUAGGCCCAAGGGCGGAGGAUUUACGGACGCGAGUUCGAUUCUCGCCGCCUCCACCA
Molecule: transfer-messenger RNA, 349 nt
Filed under: Beggiatoa leptomitoformis
Lineage: Bacteria; Pseudomonadati; Pseudomonadota; Gammaproteobacteria; Thiotrichales; Thiotrichaceae
Description: Standard tmRNA
Rfam family: transfer-messenger RNA
About the family: Bacterial tmRNA, also known as 10Sa RNA or SsrA, is named for its dual tRNA and mRNA-like properties. Its role is to liberate the mRNA from a stalled ribosome.
Source: RNAcentral